CAGUCGCCACGGUAAUACGGAGGGGGCUAGCGUUGUUCGGAAUUACUGGGCGUAAAGCGCACGUAGGCGGCUUGGUAAGUUAGAGGUGAAAGCCUGGAGCUCAACUCCAGAAUUGCCUUUAAGACUGCCGAGCUAGCAGGUGAGAGAGGUAAGUGGAAUUCCGAGUGUAGAGGUGAAAUUCGUAGAUAUUCGGAAGAACACCAGUGGCGAAGGCGGCUUACUGGCUCAUACUGGACGCUGAGGUGCGAAAGCGUGGGGAGCAAACAGGAUUAGAUACCCGAGUAGUCCCUGUCUCUUAUAC
RNAcentral lists this ribosomal RNA (301 nucleotides) under uncultured bacterium. RNAcentral's name for it is "partial 16S ribosomal RNA". It matches the Rfam family "Bacterial small subunit ribosomal RNA", at positions 509 to 807 of the family's 1533-position model. The record is from RNAcentral.